AAAGAAACUAACAAGGAUUCCCUCCAGUGACGGCGAGUGAACCGGGAAAAGCUCAAAUUUAAAAUCGCUUGGGUUUACCUGAGUGAGUUGUAAUUUGAAGAAAGUGUUUCGACUUUUCGGGUUUGAUCCAAAUCCUUUGGGAUGAGGUAUCAUAGAGGGUGAGAAUCCCGUUCAUGAUUGAACCUGAGUUGUCAAUGAUUCAUUCUCUAAGAGUCGAGUUGUUUGGGAUUGCAGCUCAAAAUGGGUGGUAAAUUUCACCUAAGGCUAAAUAUCUGCGAGAGACCGAUAGCGAACAUGUACCGUGAGGGAAAGAUGAAAAGAACUUUGAAAAGAGAGUUAAAAAGUACGUGAAAUUGUUGAAAGGGAAACGAUUGAAGUCAGUCAUGCUAGCGAGGAAUCAACUUGGUGGUGUGAGUCUCUCAUCUCCUCCGUGUGCACUUCCUCGUCUGGCAGGUUAGCAUCAAUUUUGAUUGUCAUCAAAUAAUUGGGGUAAUGUGGCUUCGCUUCGGUGGAGUGUUAUAGACCCUGGUGGAUGUGGCGAUUGGGAUUGAGGAUUGCAGCGGAUGCCUCUCGGCUAGUCAUCCGAUUCCUGGCUGUCACCUCGCUUUCGACAGCUUGCUGACGAUUGUGGGACUCGGCGGUCUAGGUGUCGGUCUGAUCUUAAAUUCGCUAAGGAUGCUGACGUAAUGGCUUUAAACGACCCGU
This 705-nucleotide ribosomal RNA is filed under the name Acaulospora laevis. RNAcentral describes it as "eukaryotic LSU rRNA". It matches the Rfam family "Eukaryotic large subunit ribosomal RNA", at positions 58 to 652 of the family's 3401-position model. The record is from RNAcentral. Lineage: Eukaryota; Fungi; Glomeromycota; Glomeromycetes; Diversisporales; Acaulosporaceae.